This 429-nucleotide ribosomal RNA is filed under the name uncultured bacterium. RNAcentral's name for it is "bacterial SSU rRNA". It matches the Rfam family "Bacterial small subunit ribosomal RNA", at positions 30 to 460 of the family's 1533-position model. The record is from RNAcentral.
AUUGAACGCUGGCGGCAUGCCUUACACAUGCAAGUCGAACGGCAGCACGGGAGCAAUCCUGGUGGCGAGUGGCGAACGGGUGAGUAAUAUAUCGGAACGUGCCCAGUCGUGGGGAUAACGUAGCGAAAGCUACGCUAAUACCGCAUACGAUCUAUGGAUGAAAGCGGGGGAUCGCAAGACCUCGCGCGAUUGGAGCGGCCGAUAUCAGAUUAGGUAGUUGGUGAGGUAAAGGCUCACCAAGCCGACGAUCUGUAGCUGGUCUGAGAGGACGACCAGCCACACUGGGACUGAGACACGGCCCAGACUCCUACGGAGGCAGCAGUGGGGAAUUUUUGGACAAUGGGCGCAAGCCUGAUCCAGCAAUGCCGCGUGCAGGAUGAAGGCCCUCCGGGUUGUGACUGCUUUUGUACGGAACGGAAAAGGUUUAGU